CCAGCUAUGCAACCCAAGAGGCGGGGGUGAAUUGGGUUUCUAAAAAUUUUAAGCCCAACUGAUUACUUAUGAAGAACAAAACAAAGACUUUAAUUCAAUAUUAAUUACCUAAAGCAGGAAUGCAAGAAUAUAAUAAAGAAAUAAAGUGAAGCGAUAAAGCACACCACAAACACAAGGAUUUAUAGUGGUUCGGUGCUAACCUUGCACUUACAUCCACUCCCCAAGCUCCUACUUGAGAAUUUCAAUCC
This 248-nucleotide long non-coding RNA is filed under the name Elaeis guineensis (African oil palm). Its description in RNAcentral is "long non-coding RNA (EGUI_LNC069053)". The record is from RNAcentral. Lineage: Eukaryota; Viridiplantae; Streptophyta; Magnoliopsida; Arecales; Arecaceae.